Molecule: transfer RNA, 70 nt
Filed under: Planctomycetales bacterium
Lineage: Bacteria; Pseudomonadati; Planctomycetota; Planctomycetia; Planctomycetales
Description: tRNA-Gly
Rfam family: tRNA (bases 4-63)
About the family: Transfer RNA (tRNA) molecules are approximately 80 nucleotides in length. Their secondary structure includes four short double-helical elements and three loops (D, anti-codon, and T loops). Further hydrogen bonds mediate the characteristic L-shaped molecular structure. tRNAs have two regions of fundamental functional importance: the anti-codon, which is responsible for specific mRNA codon recognition, and the 3' end, to which the tRNAs corresponding amino acid is attached (by aminoacyl-tRNA synthetases). tRNAs cope with the degeneracy of the genetic code in two manners: having more than one tRNA (with a specific anti-codon) for a particular amino acid; and 'wobble' base-pairing, i.e. permitting non-standard base-pairing at the 3rd anti-codon position.
Source: RNAcentral
GGCGUAACUCAGUUGGUAGAGUGGUAGCUUCCCAAGCUGCAUGUCGUGAGUUCGAAUCUCAUCAGCGUCU